Molecule: long non-coding RNA, 1648 nt
Organism: Zonotrichia albicollis (white-throated sparrow)
Lineage: Eukaryota; Metazoa; Chordata; Aves; Passeriformes; Passerellidae
Source: Ensembl
AGGGAUUAAACCCAGGUUUAAUGGGGGUGCGCUGCUCCGCCCUGCGGCGCUCCAACGUCACCCAACGGACCUGGAAUAUGGGGGAUAGACCGGGGUUAAACCGGGGUUAAACUGGGAUUGAACUGGGAUUGAACCAGGGUUAAACCGGGAUUAACCUGGGGUUUAGACCAGGAUUAAAGCAGGGUUAGAGCAGCCUUAAACCGGGAAUUAAAGCAGGCUUGAACUGGGAUUGAACUGGGAUUGAAGCAGGAGUUAACCCGGGAACUGGGAAUGCGCUGCUCCAUCCACACCGUCACUGACCCACCUGGAACGAGGGCUAAACCAGGCUUAAACUGGGAUUAAACUGGGAAUUAUACUGGGAAUAACAGGAAUUGAACUGGGAACUGGGAGUGUCACCAAGCACACCUGGAACUGGGAUUAAACCGGGAAUGGAACUGGGAAUUAAAGCGGGAAUGAAAGCGGGAAUGGGGCUGUUCCCAACGGGAGAGGCGUCCCGGUGCUGCCCUCUGCUGGCCAUGGCGGGAACUGCAGGAAAUCCGGGAAUGGGGAAUAUUCCCAAUGGGAAAAACGUCCCAGUCCUGGCUUGUGUUGGGGAUUGUGGGGAAACUGGGAAUGUGGAUUGUUCCUGGUGUUCCCGUUCCUGGAUUCCUGAGGUUCCCAUUCCCAGAUCCCAAAUGAUCAUUGUUCCCACUGUUCCCAUUCCCACAUUCCCACUGUUCCCAUUGUUCCCAUUCCCACAUUCCCACUGUUCCCAUUCCCAUUCCCACUGUUCCCACUGUUCCCAUUCCCACAUUCCCAUUCCCAAUCCCAAAUUCCCAGAUUAUUCCCAGAAUUAUUCCCAGAUUUAUCCCAUUCCUCACGUCCUUGCUGCCGUGGAAGCCGAUCUGAUCCCAUUCCCACAUCCCCAGAUUUAUUCCCAAAUUCCCAGAUCAUUCCCAGAUUUAUUCCAUCACUCACGUCCUUGCUGUGGUGGAAGCCGAUCUGUUCCCAUUCCCAAAUUCCCAGAUUCAUUCCCAAAUUCCCAGAUUCAUUCCCAAAUUCCCAGAUUACUCAUCCCCCUCACGCACGUCCUUGCUCUGGUGGAAGCCGAUCUGUUCCCAUUCCCAAUCCCCAGAUUUAUUCCCAAAUUCCCAGAUUAUUCCCAUAUUCCCAUCCCCCUCACUCACGUCCUUGCUGCGGCGGAAGCCGAUCCGAUCCCAUUCCCAUUUCCCAUUCCCAAAUUCCCAGAUUUAUUCCCAAAUUCCCAUUCCCACAUUCCCAGAUUUAUUCCCAAAUUCCCAGAUUUAUUCCCAAAUUCCCAGAUUAUUCCCAGAUUUAUCCAUCCCAAUCACUCACGUCCUUGCUGCGGUGGAAGCCGAUCUGAUCCCAUUCCCAAAUUCCCAAUCCCAAUCCCAAAUUAUUCCCAGAUUAUUCCCAGAUUUAUCCCCUCACUCACGUCCUUGCUGCGGUGGAAGCCGAUCUGAUCCCAUUCCCAAUCCCCAUUCCCAAAUUCCCAGAUUUAUUCCCAAAUUCCCAGAUUAUUCCCCUCACUCACGUCCUUGCUGCGGUGGAAGCCGAUCUGCCCCACGUCCAUGUCGGGCGUUUUGCGCAGGUUGCUCCAGGGCGUGUAAACCACGGUCACCGAGCUCAGCUUGCAGCCUGCAGGAAA